GACUACUCGGGUAUCUAAUCCUGUUUGCUCCCCACGCUUUCGUGCAUCAGCGUCAGUAAUGUUCCAGCAGGUCGCCUUCGCAAUGAGUAUUCCUCUUGAUCUCUACGGAUUUUACCCCUACACCAAGAAUUCCACCUACCUCUCCCACACUCCAGAGUAACAGUUUCAAAUGCAGUUCUGUAGUUAAGCUACAGGAUUUCACAUCUGACUUAUUACCCCGCCUACGCACUCUUUACGCCCAGUGAUUCCGAGUAACGCUUGCACCCUCCGUAUUACCGCGGCUGCUGGCACGGAGUUAGCCGGUGCUUAUUCGUUAGAUACCGUCAUAAUCUUCUCUAACAAAAGGAGUUUACAAUCCUAAAACCUUCAUCCUCCACGCGGCGUUGCUGCUUCAGGGUUUCCCCCAUUGAGCAAUAUUCCCUACUGCUGCCACCCGUAGG
RNAcentral lists this ribosomal RNA (440 nucleotides) under uncultured bacterium. RNAcentral describes it as "partial 16S ribosomal RNA". The record is from RNAcentral.